GCAAGGUGACAAGCUAUGUUAGCAACCUCGAUGCUCACCUUACAGAGGAGGAAGCUGAGGCUCAGAGAAGUGAAGCGACUCACUCCAGGUCAUAACCAGCAAAUGCGUGACCCAGGACUCAAACCCAGGUCUGUCUGAUCCCCAAGACCUGGCUCCCCACCACCCAAGACUAUCUCUUCUGGGGAUUCCAGAACACUAUGUCUUCUUUCCCACAAAUCUCUGCUGGGCUGGCCUGGGAGAGGCAACUCUCAGGAAGACCCCAGACCCCAUUUUCCUCAUCUGCAGAACAGCGCUUCUUCAGAUGGCUGUGUUGUACAGUGAGCGUCUAUGUGACCAGCUGGUCCUCUGUUCGAAGCCCAGCGGGGACAGCCCCAACCCCUUGAGAGUUACCUUCUUGCGCUCCAGAGCACAAAGUCCCAGGCUGGGCCCCACCACAGGCUAGCACAUCGGGGGUACACUGUGAGUACUUAUGAGUGCAUAAAUAAUAAAACCAAAACAAUAUCUGACUCUUGCUAUAACCUCUUUAUGGACCAGGCACUGUUCUAAGAGCCUUAUAUACAAGAGUUUAUUAAAUCCUCUCAAAAGCCCUAGAACGCCCAUUUUACAGGUGAGGAAACUGGGGCUCAGAGAGGUUAAGUAACCUGCCCACCGUCACAGAGCUUGGAAGUGAUUACAGGGACUGUGUCUUUAUCCACUUGCUGCUGUCUCUCUCUGAACCCAGCCGAACCCUGAGUGGCCAUCCUCACGAAGCCCCACCUGGGUGGGCCCCAAGGGCACAGUUGCCACCCCUGGGCCCUCACCUGUCUGGUUGAUGCUGACGCUGGCAGUGAGGAAGCUGCGGCUGGUCACCAGGUCCGAGACGCCGUUGCGGGCCUCUACGGUGAAGGUGUAGUUCAUAUGGGGCUCCAGGUCGCUGACUGUCACGCUGGUGCGGGUCAGCCCGUGCGGUGGCUCCGAGUAGCGCACGCUGGCCUCGCAGGGACCGCACUCGCCUGACUCGGGCCAGCACUGCUCGCAGGUGACAGUGUAGGUGAUGUCCUCGCGGCCCCCGUUGUCCUGGGGGGGCGUCCAGCGCAGCUCCACUUUGGCGCCCAUGCCCACAGCCGUGAGGUAGUGCGGGGCGGAGGGCGGGCCUGUGCAGAGGGCAGAGGUCAGAGCUCGGAUCCAGGUAGGUCUGGACAUGUCAGCAUCACCACGCCCAGCUCUGUCACCCCUCCCUGACCCGCUGUGAGACUCACGCGUGCAGAGCAGUGAAAGUGGGUCCUGCGGGGCCCGGAAAUAGCCUUCCUCACACUCGCAGGCGGUGGCCCCCUCGGAGGACGGCAGGGUGUGUGGGGGGCACUCCAGACAGGGGCUCUCGGAUGCCUCGGACUUGAAGAAUCCCGGCGAGCAGGCUGGCAGGCACAGGGACAGACAUCAGCUCAGCCUGUUCUCACCCCGAGCGACUUUUCCCUCCCUGGCCCUGGGACCCCUGGCAAGUCACUAAACCUCUAUGGGCCUGUUUUGUCAUUGGUAAAAUGUCUUGUGAUGAGAAAAUGCGUGGAAAGCACCUAGCUUGGGCCAGACACCCAGGAAGUGCCUUGCCCUCCUGCUCCAAAGCUUUGCAGCCCCCUCCCCAGUGGCUCUUGCAAGAAGCACCAUGCCCCUGAGCCUGGCAUUCAAGGCCCACAUCUCACCUUCCAGCUUCCUAAGAAUCCUAUCUCACAGCUGGCUCAGCCUUGGACAGAGGCUGGAGAUAUCCUUUAAUCCGUGCGGACCAGCCUGGCAGGUCCCCACCUGGACUGAGAGCUGCCCAGGGCAGUGACUGCUUCUUCUUCGCCAUUUGUGUUUGCUGACUCACAGAUCAGACGGGGGCAUCAGGAUGCUACCUCUGCAGCUUACUCUGGAGAGGGUCCUGAGAUACCUCCAGCCUCAGUGUCACGUUCAUCAAACACUGAUCCUCAACUCUGCGUGCAGCCCAGUGCAUGGACCUCGAGAUGAGACAAAGCCCCUGACCUCUGGGAGCUAGAGCACGUGACAAUGUCCACCAUACAGGGGUGGGCAGCAAGGACCUACUGCACAGCACAGGGAACUCUGCUCGAUGUUAUGUGGCAGCCUGGAUGGGAGGGGAGUCUGGGGGAGAAUGGAUACACGUAUACGUAUGGCUGAGUCGCUUUGCUGUGCACCUGAAACUAUCACAACAUUGUUAACAGGCUAUAC
This is a long non-coding RNA of Lagenorhynchus albirostris (white-beaked dolphin), 2199 nucleotides long. RefSeq lists it as uncharacterized. The transcript has 3 exons. Lineage: Eukaryota; Metazoa; Chordata; Mammalia; Artiodactyla; Delphinidae. The record is from RefSeq and is a predicted model, not a curated record.